UGGGGAAUAUUGGACAAUGGGCGAAAGCCUGAUCCAGCAAUGCCGCGUGAGUGAUGAAGGCCUUAGGGUUGUAAAGCUCUUUUACCAGGGAUGAUAAUGACAGUACCUGGAGAAUAAGCUCCGGCUAACUCCGUGCCAGCAGCCGCGGUAAUACGGAGGGAGCUAGCGUUGUUCGGAAUUACUGGGCGUAAAGCGUACGUAGGCGGUGACUCAAGUCAGAGGUGAAAGCCUGGAGCUCAACUCCAGAACUGCCUUUGAAACUAGGUCGCUAGAAUCACGGAGAGGUGAGUGGAAUUCCGAGUGUAGAGGUGAAAUUCGCAGAUAUUAGGAAGAACACCAGUGGCGAAGGCGGCCAACUGGCUCGAUACUGACGCUGAGGUGCGAAAGCGUGGGGAGCAAACAGGAUUAGAUACCCCAGUAGUCCCUGAGCGGGCUGGCAAGGCGCAU
This 447-nucleotide ribosomal RNA is filed under the name uncultured bacterium. RNAcentral describes it as "bacterial SSU rRNA". It matches the Rfam family "Bacterial small subunit ribosomal RNA", at positions 355 to 825 of the family's 1533-position model. The record is from RNAcentral.